RNAcentral lists this ribosomal RNA (253 nucleotides) under uncultured bacterium. Its description in RNAcentral is "partial 16S ribosomal RNA". It matches the Rfam family "Bacterial small subunit ribosomal RNA", at positions 524 to 776 of the family's 1533-position model. The record is from RNAcentral.
UACGUAGGGGGCUAGCGUUGUCCGGAAUCAUUGGGCGUAAAGCGCGUGUAGGCGGUCCGGUAAGUCCGCUGUGAAAGUCGGGGGCUCAACCCUCGGAUGCCGGUGGAUACUGUCGGGCUUGAGUACGGAAGAGGCGAGUGGAAUUCCUGGUGUAGCGGUGAAACGCGCAGAUAUCAGGAGGAACACCAAUUGCGAAGGCAGCUCGCUGGGACGUUACUGACGCUGAGACGCGAAAGCGUGGGGAGCAAACAGG